Molecule: long non-coding RNA, 2598 nt
Organism: Neofelis nebulosa (Clouded leopard)
Lineage: Eukaryota; Metazoa; Chordata; Mammalia; Carnivora; Felidae
Exons: 2
Source: RefSeq, a predicted model, not a curated record
UGAAUACCUGAAAGGCAAGAAGACAUUAUGGAUUGCUAGAAUUGCACUGCUGGAGACCAUCACUUUGUCCUUUUGAAAAAUUUCUUUUACAUAAAUGAGUGAAAUUCAGUUUGGGAGACUAGGGUGGGACCCCUUCAAAGGAGAUUAUUUGAACAGUUAUUUCCAAGGCACUGACAAAAUGGAUUAUCAUUUACACAGAAACAUUCAAACACCGAUCAAGCACAAAUAUUUGACAUUUAAGAAGUCUUGUGAGGGAAAUUUAAAGGAACUGGCAUUAGCUGGCGAAAGCUAAUUUCAUUUCAAGUAAAUUGGGAUUAAUUAUUUUUAAAAGUGAUGGGUAGGGAGCAAAACAAACUGCUUCUCCUUUUUUCCAUUCUUUAAAUUUUGGUGUUGUUUCCUUGGCCUACCCUCCUUUCCUGCAAUAUCACCAUUUAAUUAUGCAGAUUAAGGUAAACUGAAUAAGCAAAAUCUUAAAGAAUAGUUUAGCAGAAAUUCUGUAUUUGCUUUAGAGAUGUUAUCUACUAUGUGUGCUGUUAAAUGAAGCCCUUCAAAAACAUUUCUUUUAGAGUUAAGCGGUAAGAGUUAAGUGUUUCUCUUGGAACCAUAGUGUAUUUUCUCCUCUUGGAUACAGAAUACCAUGGAACUAUAUUUUCCCUUUCCCUUUGCCACCAAAAAGCUCAAAAACAGAUUCUCUGCUUAACUAACUGCAGUGACUUAGUAAGAUCUUGUAGACUACAUAUGGACAUCCUAUUUUUUCAUUCUUAUCUUUGACUUCAUAUUUUAAUGCAUACUUUCCCUAGUUUGGUGUUUUAUUUCUAUUUUCUUUUAUUAUAGAUUAUAUAUAAUACAUAUAUACUAAAUUAUAUAUAAAUGUAAAAUAUCAUAUCAUAUAUAUGUUUAUUGCAAGUUAUCUCAAAUAAUACGGAGUACUAACAAAGAGCAGAUGAGAUGAUUGAGUUCCAGAGAGCUUCAUAGACUUGUCCAACAACUGAAAUGCUUUUCAAAGCUUUCCAGGUCAAAUGGUUGUCAGAACUCUACUCACUCUCUGGUCUUCAGGACUCAGCUCAGACAUCAGCAUUUCCGUAUUGUAUGUGCUCCAUUCCCAACUCCGGUUGACAAAAUACUCCAGCAUGGACACUGUUCUUAGCAGCCGAUUCAUGAGCUUUGUCAUCCUGAGGUAAAGAUCAGGUAGAAGCCAAUAUCAGCACACCACAGAUGGCUGCUUCCAUGCUACUCUAUAGGAUGUAGGACAAAUUAUUUUUUGAGAAAAGAGAAAAAAUUUCCCUCUUGCCCCCAUUUCUUCAUUAAAACAGAUUCUUUUUUUCUCUUUCCACAUAAUCUCCAUUGAAUAAAGGAAGGGGAUGAAACUAAUGGAGUCUGUUCUAUUAGGCAUUUUAAUACAAACAACCUCCUCCUCUUCCUCUGUACUACCUUCUCUUUCUCCAAAGUGGCAGAUAUUUUAAAAGCCGAGCCAGAUAUUGGAAAAUAGCUAGGUGAUCACCUACUGUGUGGCACAGUGCUGAUACUUUGAAAAAAAUACUACCUCAGCUAAUUCUCGUAUCUGUCAGAUAGGUAUUUAUCUGCAUUUUAUGAGGGGGUAGAAGAAGCUUAAGAUAGAUGAAGUGGCCAUGAUAAUAAUAAGUGUCAAAGGCAAAACUGCAACCCAGUUUUGACCACCCUCAAAAAGCUUAUGCUUUUAUGAUCUCACCACUCUGUCCCAUGACUUCAGAUGGCCCACAUCUUCCAGUCCUGUGGUCAGGACUUGGACCAGCUCUGCUGUGUGAACUUCUCAACUUUACAAUAAUUUAUCGAAAACUUUCAGAUGUGAUCUUAUUUGAUCCUCACAGUAGGAAUCUGUGAGGGAGUAAAGAUCUAUUAUUAUUUAUCUUCCUUAAUCUUACAGAAGGGUUAACAGCUUAAAGUUCACACAGCUACCGCUUAAACCUAGAUCUUCUGGCUACAGAUCACUUUGGCCUGUAGAACAUUUCUCUUAGGCCAGUUUUGCCAAUAGUGAUUACUGUAGUUGACCCAGUAAUGACUUAAACUGUGUCGGGAAUUUGGUCUUGUUUCUGGUCAGAUCCUAAUGACUUAUCAGGGACUUCUCUCAUUGUAUCAUGGGAAAUUCUUAGGCAGAGGGUAGACUCAUUAUUCCCUGGUACAAGCAUUACAGUAGCCUUCCAUUUAGCUAUUAUUAUUUAACAUUUUUGCUAUAGACUAUUUGUAUGCCCCUCCUCCCCAAAUUCAUAUAUUUAAACCUAUUCCCACCAAUGUGAUAGUAUUUGGAGAAGACUUGGGGAGGUGAUUAGUGCCUUUCUCUCUCCCUCGGACUUUCCAGCUUGUGAGGACACAGAGAGAGAGAGAGAAAGAGAGAGAGAUGGCUCUCUAGGAACCAGGAAGCAGGCCCUCAGCAGAUGCUGAAUCCACUAGCAUCUUGAUCUUACACUGCCCAGUCUCCAGAACUGUGAGAAAUAAACUGUUACUUGUAAGCCUCCCAGUCUAUGAUAUUCUGCUAUAGCAGACCAAAUGAAUGACCAUCUUUAUCCAUUCUACAAUUCUGAUGGAAUUGAUGUGAUUUUAAUAAAUUUAAUUUUUGAAAAU